GGGAGUAUAGCUCAGAUGGCAGAGCGCCGGCCUUUUAAGCCGAGGGUCGCAGGUUCGAUGCCUGCUGCUCCCA
RNAcentral lists this transfer RNA (73 nucleotides) under Salmonella phage Arash. It matches the Rfam family "tRNA". From Rfam's summary of the family: Transfer RNA (tRNA) molecules are approximately 80 nucleotides in length. Their secondary structure includes four short double-helical elements and three loops (D, anti-codon, and T loops). Lineage: Duplodnaviria; Heunggongvirae; Uroviricota; Caudoviricetes. The record is from Rfam by way of RNAcentral.